RNA transcript from Populus nigra (black poplar), 1380 nucleotides. It is a transcript of the gene named protein Iojap-related, mitochondrial, with no coding region annotated. NCBI's taxonomy places the organism in Eukaryota, Viridiplantae, Streptophyta, Magnoliopsida, Malpighiales, Salicaceae. The transcript is spliced from 6 exons. The record is from RefSeq and is a predicted model, not a curated record.
CAAUGUAUUAUGAAAAUAUACAGGGAUUAGAUGUGGAGUUCCUGAACUGGAGGGACUAACCCAACAGUUCCUUAAAAGUUAAAAACCUAGUACCAAGUUGUAACAUGUUAUUCGAAUAUUUGACAGGCAGAAGAUAUAACGGUGCUGUAUGGUGCCCCUCCCUGGCUGCCAGAGACAGACUCUCCAGUUAUUCUAGAGAGAAGGAGCUCGAUCGUGAGUCAUCGUCUGCUUUGUGGAGCUAGAUAUAUUCCGGGUUUUCUCUUAUUCUUACUGUCGGUGGAAAGCGAUAAAUAAAACGGCAGAUAAAAAGGCUUGCAAGCCAUUUUGACAUAUUGCUUCAACAGCUCUGGACUGGUGUGAUAAAAUGUUGGCUGCAACUCUGCGAUCUCGGUCUCUUCAUCUCUCAUCUUCACUCCUGAAUCAUCCAUGGAAACCUGUGUUGUCAGGUUCCGGUCAUACUUUCUCUUCAUCAGCUGCUGAAUCCAACAGUGACAGAAGCAUACUGGACCUAAACGAGAUAGAGAAGGUUCUCACUGAUGUGAGAGCAGAUGACGUGAAAGUUAUACCAGCUAAAAAGCACGCUGAAUGGGCUGAUUAUAUGGUCAUUGCCACUGGCAGGUCGACAUGGCAUGUCAAAAACAUCGCUCAAGCCCUUAUUUACAAGGCUAAGCAAAAGCAAAAGGGGGCUCAACGAAUGACCCUCCCCAGUGUGGAAGGGCAAGAGGGAGGAAAGUGGAUUGUUAUUGACUCUGGUAAGGUGAUAGUUCAUGCUCUUGACGAGAAAGCUCGAGCAUACUACAAUUUGGAAAGUCUUUGGACCUCAGAUGCAUCUAAUGAGGAACCAGAUCAGGACUUGGAUAAAGCUUUUAUCAAGAUUCGUCCCAAGAGAAACAAUUCUAAAAGACCAGCAAAUAGAGGUGCCUGAAGCAUCAAUAGUUGUGACAUGAGCAGCUGCUGCCAUUGUUGCCAAUAUAGUUUUCUCGUGCCAAAGUUUUUUCCUCAAUCAAUAUUUUGCAGUCCAUCUCACCAUAGCGUACCUGUAAAUUUGAUGGGCCUUGCCCUCGAGAAAACACCUUUUGGGAAGGAGUGCUUCAUGGGCCCAAAAUCCCUUCUCGCAUUGGAUGACGUGGGAUUGAGCACUGAAGUAUGUAUUACUAGAAAGCCAUCCAACAUCAGCCCACUCAAACUUAAUAAUUGACAAAACAAUCUUUGAUUUUUUAAUAUAUAAUGCUUAUUAUUGCAAUAUUACAUUGCAAUCCUUGUAGAAAUCAAUCUAGGCUUCUAACUUUACUGUAUUAGUGAAUUUUAAUUUAUAAUUAUUAACAUGUGAUAAUAAUGAUAAUUAAAUAACAAUAUAUAUAAAUUAGUAUGUUAAUGUCC